Molecule: ribosomal RNA, 254 nt
Filed under: uncultured bacterium
Lineage: Bacteria
Description: partial 16S ribosomal RNA
Rfam family: Bacterial small subunit ribosomal RNA
Source: RNAcentral
GACAUAGGUGGCGAACGUUAUCCGGAAUUAUUGGGCGUAAAGGAUGCGUAGAUGGUAGAAUAAGUUACUGGUCGAUGCCAAACUCAAUUUGACGGAAGCUGGUAAUACUGUUCUACUCGAGGGCAGGAGAGGUUGAUGGAAUUCUGUGUGGAGCGGUGAAAUGCGUUGAUCUACAGAGGAACACCAAAAAAGGCGAAGGCAGUCAACUAGUCUGUUCCUGACAUUGAGGCAUGAAAGCGUGGGGAGCAAACCGG